Molecule: long non-coding RNA, 2277 nt
Organism: Solea senegalensis (Senegalese sole)
Lineage: Eukaryota; Metazoa; Chordata; Actinopteri; Pleuronectiformes; Soleidae
Exons: 2
Source: RefSeq, a predicted model, not a curated record
CUUCUCUCCUUCCCUCCACCUUCACCUCAGCCUUCACUGACAAAUUAAGAUUAAUGGCAGAGAUAAAUAAGGAACCUACACCUUUCAGCAUCACACGGUCAGACAUCACUUGGUCUUCUUUAUUGAAGCAACAUUUUGAGUUCCAAUUAAAAUUGUAGUCCAAAGAGUGCCGCCCACUCUGAUUGGAAAAAAAUAAUACAACUGAGUAUAAAUGUGCAGAAGUAAAUAUUUAACACUCCAGUGCAAAGGUCUUAGGCAAACAGCUUAUGCAAAAUUGUGAUGUCAUGACUGUCAGAUUCUGUGAUCUUUGGCAUUUGAAUGAAAUAAUGUGACUGAAAGUUGGUCAUUAGCAAACCUCCAAAGAGUUAUUGAUCUCUUUUUUUACUGCAGCCAGUUUCAGCACGAGAUAGUAGACCAACGCAGGUGUCAUCGAUGACAUUAAUGUUCAAAUGUACAUUCAGCCCAUAGAUGCACUUUUCUCUGAAGAUUUAUAUAAUUUUAUUUUAAUACUGCAUUCAUAUUUUCUGGUUGUAUAUUACUAAAGAGAUUGAGAAAUAAUUACAUAUGUUCAUUAUUGCAUUGGGAAAAUCUUUAGUGACCUAAAGACUAAAACUCAGUACUGUGAAUCAGCAGUACUCAAAAUCAAAAACUAAUUAAAAUGUCACAUUUGUCACACAUGUACAAGUCGACCCUAUAUGGCACCAUGACGAUUUCCCAUUUUCAUCCGCAUUUGUUUUACUCUUAUGAGUUAUUUAAGUCUGAGAAAUAAUUUGAGAAUUGUGUGAAUCUAAAAAAAAAUCUGUUGCCAGGGGUGUCAACACACAUCUUUACAGAGCCAUAAAUGCUACACUUUGAAGGACUCACACCUAUCUCACUGCAUCAGUGAAUGCAGAAGGUCACUUGGUAGUUAUAAAGACAUCAAAUAAAAAGCCUUUGGGGCAUAAUCAGUGCUUUCAGGUUUCUUCUGAAGGUUUUUCUGCAUGCUUCUGUUGUCUUGGCAUAAUAACUCAUAAAUGUUCUUCUGAUUUUCUUAGGUGUCUGCCACCAGAAGUUGGCGAUGUGAGAGGUUUUAAUGGAGAGGGUCCUCGCGGCUGAAUAUGUGCCCCUCUGCCCCGCAGCUGGAGGUGUCUGUUUCACAGGCCUCUGUAAUGCGGGACCAGGGAGGAUAAGGUUUCACAGGUCCCUUGAAGUGUGAGACUUGAAGGAAGAGUGGUUCUUUUGAAGGCAACUAGAAGGCGUUUCGGGGCUGAGAGGUGCUGGAAAGGGCAUGUCCAAACAGACUUUAAGCCCUGAGUGAUGGGACACGGGAAGCGGUAACAGGACACCUCGCCCCUGCUCUCAUGUCAACACAGUCAUGUGAAUCACAACUGUGAGAGCGUCUGAAGAUCCACGGGGACAAUAGAGGCCGACUUUCCACAGGAUCACAAAAGCUUUGUUUCAAUCACUGUAUUUGUCUUCAUUGCAUGUUUUUUUUUUUUUUGAAAUCCUUUGAAAAGGAUUAAACUGAUCUGUGAUAAAUCUUUAUCUCUCAUCAGGACUUUUCCGGCUUUAUCCCACACUGAAGUGGAUACAAUUAAACGUAUCAGUGAAGUUUAAAGGGCUCAAUUUAAGCACGGUUUCUAUCAUGUGCCAUGGACUGAUGAGGGUAAGUAAAGAAGUUUGUGUCUGCUUAGGGUUCUGCAGUAGCCAAAGCGGCGCUAAAUGAGUCAGAUAUUAAUAUCUGAUCAAUACAUGAAAUGAGCUAAAAGUAUUCCAAUUCCAAAAAUUUCAAGUGUUUAUUGUCAUGUGUACGGUAAGAAAGCAUGUUUCUCUUUGCUGUCCACGACAAUGCCAAAUUAACAAAAGUCAAAAGAAAUAGAUCGGAAUUGUAAAAAGGACACACAGUAUCACUAGCAUGUAAUAAUCAAUCACAUUUGCAAAAUUAGCUGAUAAUGCUGCUUAAAUAGUCACCUAUAGGUAAUGUUAAAACACUGAAACUGUAAUAAAAAAUAUAAAUGGACAAAACUAAAGAUAAGUCCAUGGUCGAAACAUCCAAUCUGCCUGUGUGAGAACUUUAAAGCAACAACACCUACAAUAAUAUAAUUAAAUGUCAUUUUAUAGUGCACUAUGUAUUUUGUUUUAAAUAACAUCCUAUUGUCAUCAGUAUCAAGUGUUAUGAAGAGCCAUGUUUAGUUCAGCUGACAGUUUCAGAAAGGUUUCAUUUGAUGGCUGGGGGAAAUAUGGAUGGGAAUACAAUGAAAUACACAUAACAGUACUAAUAAAGAAAAAUGAACUGUG